RNAcentral lists this ribosomal RNA (406 nucleotides) under uncultured bacterium. RNAcentral's name for it is "partial 16S ribosomal RNA". It matches the Rfam family "Bacterial small subunit ribosomal RNA", at positions 30 to 526 of the family's 1533-position model. The record is from RNAcentral.
AUUGAACGCUGGCGGCAGGCCUAACACAUGCAAGUCGAACGAGUGGCGGACGGGUGAGUAAUGUCUGGGAAACUGCCCGAUGGAGGGGGAUACCUACUGGAAACGUUAGCUAAUACCGCAUACCAUCGGAUGUGCGCAGAUUGGAUUAGCUAGUAGGUUGGGUAAAGGCUCACCUAGGCGACGAUCCCUAGCUGGUCGGAGAGGAUGACCGGCCAGACUGGAACUGAGACACGGUCAAGACUCCUACGAGAGGAAGCAGUGGGGAAUAUUGCACAAUGGGCGCAAGACUGAUGAAGCCAUGCCGCGUGUAUGAAGAAGGCCUUCGUGUUGUAAAGUACUUUCAGCGAGGAGGCGUUACUCGCAGAAGAAGCACCGGCUAACUCUGUGCCAGCAGCCGAGGUAAUAC